Molecule: long non-coding RNA, 4215 nt
Organism: Toxorhynchites rutilus septentrionalis
Lineage: Eukaryota; Metazoa; Arthropoda; Insecta; Diptera; Culicidae
Exons: 3
Source: RefSeq, a predicted model, not a curated record
AUAUGCAACAAUUUUGUCGAAGACAGUUUUUGUCUAAAACAUAAAUAUCCCCCACAAAGUUGUUUUUUAACUAAGUUGCAUUAGAGUAACCAUGAAAAAACGUUUUUUUACUCUAACUUUUAUAUUUAAAAUUCCACAUCAAAAUUGUCUUCGUACGACUUUUAGAGCUUAUCAGUACCAACAUUUUGCGAGGCAGAAUUUGGCAAUAUCUUAAUUCUGCUCAAAGUUAUUGAUGGGUUUUCACCCAAAAACUCAUGAUUUCAAUUUUAAUUUACUCAAAUAGAAAAAAACAACAUAUCAUUGAAGCCGAAAUCAUCUGUCCCCGUCGACUAUUUAUAGCUCCUCCAAUUUUAUUGAGUGAAUGGAACCGCGAAAAAAACAAACAAUCACACAUUAUUGGAUGUAACUGCUUUGUUCUCUACAAGGAAACUAUAUUCAGAUAAGGAAGCAACUUUACUAUGAUUUCUGAAAAUUUCAUCAUAAAAUUUUUCAAAUUCCAGAUCAAAUUUCAGUAAUUACGACUGGCACGGAUCUUUGUUCCACCUUUCUAUCUAAUUAAUUAUAAUUCCUUUAAUAAUUGUCCAUUCAUCAAACAAAAUGUUUUCGUCUCUCUCAACAGGUAGGUAUUUACUAAUGCUACUUUGAAACAGUUUUAGUUUUUUUUUAGUUUAAGAAAAGUUUGCACUUCAUUAAUCGAAAACAUUUCUUCCCUUUUAUGUUGCAGAAUUCUAAUAAAAUAAUCAUAAUUAACAGCAAUUUCAGCAACAUUGUCUAAACAAAGCUAAGUUAUGUUUGAAAAGACACUGAUCUGUGGUGAAAAGUAACCGUAGUUUGAGACCCUGGUUUCCAAAUUAAUCUAGUAGUACAACAAGACUUUCUUCUUUUCAUUCACAAGGAUAAUUGGUCAAAAAUACUAAGAAUCCUUUCGAUAGAAACUCCAAGAGAAUGGAAUAGUGCGUUACCAUCGCAAAAACAUUUCAAUUAGAAUUCGUUAGAAGUUAGAAUUCGGAAUCACUGUUUAUUUUAUAGUAACGAUCGGAGUAGAUGUAUUUCAAAUUUUUUGACAGCUAAUUGUUUGGAAAAUCUGUAUCUUUCGACGGUUAAAAUUUCAGUUGAUCCGUUUUGUUUUGAAAAGGUUGUGCAGGAUGGAUGCCGAGAUCAGAUGCUAAAAUCGCGUAAUCGCUGACAGUGGCUAAAUCGACAGUGUAUGAUGUGCUGAAACGUUGUCGUAAACGUGCAACUGUUGGACGCGUCAUAGUGGAACAUACGAUCGGUUGAAGGUAUUGAAAUAAAUACAAAUCUGCACGCAAAACCGGGACUUUCGGACUACGACUUCGCCACAAACACAAAUCUAAUCAAAAUACUAUCCAGAGAAUCCAUAUGUGAGAAGGUUAUCGUAACUUUUGUGCCUGCAAGCAACCAAACAGCACGCUGAAGCAUAAUCUAGUGUCCGAAAGACGCUCUCGAAAAUUGUACAACAGUAUUUUGACGGAGUCCGAAGGAUGCAUGCUAAUGGAUGACAAAACGUACGUGAAGAUGGAUUUUGGACAGCUCCCAGGCCCAAAAUUCUAUAAGACCACUGCUAGAAGAGACGCUCCCACAAAAUUUAAGUGUGGACAGAAAACCUAGGUUCUCGUCACAAACAUGACAAUGGACGCGAAAAUGUGUAGGAGAGAGUGCUUGCAGAAUCGUCCGGUGAAGUUUUGGCCAGAUAUGGCAAGCUGCCACCUCAUUCGAGAGGUGCUUCCGUGACACCGUGACAAUGGGAUCGAUUACAUUGAAAAAGAUCUCAAUCCUCGCAAUUCCGCGCUAUCGAAAAAUAUUGGCCAAUUGUCAAGCGGAAUUGAAGAAGGGCACCAAAGUGACUCGGGAUGCUGCAGAAAUGAAGAGAUCUUGGAAUAAAAUGGCCGCUGAGGAUGGCCAACAGGCAGCCAAACUUUGAUGGAGGUAUCCGAAGAAAAGAAAAAUGAUUCCGACCAGUACGACACCCAUGUCCAAAUUUAAUACGACCGCAAAGGGUUAAACAAUUAGCACACAAAACUGUUUAUUCUUAGCUAUUUCUACUGUCAGAAAGGCCAACGAUUUUCAUGCCUCGGGAAAUCAAAAUCGGACGACUCGUCGAAGGUCUGACAUCAAGCAAGAGUUGAAUUCAGUAAAAACAUCUAUAACAUCCACGGAAUCAUUCCAGUUUGCUAAUGGGACGAAACAUGACUAUCCCGAGAGGGAUAUUCCGUCAAAGGAAAUCGGGAGCAGCACCGUCAGCAUCUCUAAUGUAAAACCCAAUGAGAGCCGGUUUUGAUAGCUUAGUUCAAGCACUACUGCAGGAGAUAUCGGAGAGCUACAGAGAGCUUCAGGAAGCUAAAAUUCGAAUGACCGAACCACAAUUUACCCUAGGUUUUGAUUAGGAAGAAAAUCUAAAUAGAUUAUCUUUACGCUCACUGAUGCCUCUGAUGCACUAGUCAGUCCAGACUACCUUAUCAUAUACGUACCUUGGUAGCUAGGAUUCUUUUCAGCAGCUAGCAUCAAAACUCAGUUUGAUGGAUGUUCUGGAUUCGAUUUUUGAGAAUAGAUGUCACAAGUUAUACUGGGAUCGUGAGAUCAUUGUGGAUGAUAUUCUGAGCAGGUUCUUGAAUCAUCUCAAACAAAAAAAAACGAUUGCGAAGAAACUUUCUUCUUCUUAUUUUGUCUUUAAGAGGCUUGAAACAUCUCAGUUCAUUCGCCUCUAUACCGAAGAAACUAAGAAACUUUAUUAAUAUAGAUGAAGGAAUAAAAACAAGCCCAGGAGUGUAAAGUUCAAAGUUUCCAGCUUAAAGCUGAGAGCUGCAAAAACUCUAAAAUAGUAAUAGUAAUAAUAGUUCACUAGAGCGUCAUAAUAAUGUAAAAUUCGAAUAUUUAUAAUACUGGGUACCAAAAAUCAAAAAUUGGUUGACAUGAGGGAUGUCAUCGUUAAACAGUGCAACCAACCUUGUUCUCAAUUUAAAAACUGUAACACUCAACUGGUUUAUUAUUCGUAACUCAAUCACUAAUAAGGCACUAUUCGUCUUACGGUAUCUAUCUACUAUAUGAGAAUUAUCGGCAUUUAUAACACGUGAUAAAGGGUAGAAUAGCCUGGCAAACCGUCACAACACAUUCGCUUCUACACAACAUCGUUCGACCUCUUACGCGGGUAGCCUGUUUUCUCUAGGAAUGUUUCAAAAGCGCGGGUACAGUUACAUAUCAUGCAGAUACAUUCAAUAGUAGGUUUCUAGUUCGAUUAAAGUAAGUAGAUUGAAUGAUUAUCUAAAAUAGACGAUUCGCAACGUGGGCCAAUGUAAUCUUUCGAAAAUAUAAAAAAAUCUCGCGUAUUUUUUUUCUUCAAUCGAAAACCAAUUAUCCAUAGAAUUAAUAUAAAAAUACGAUAACUAUUAGGGGAUCACAAUUGAUAUAUCAUGUAGGUUUAAAUAUACAUAUGUUUUUUUUUCUCUAAAUAUACUUUAUGAUGUUUUAGUGCGUCAUUUCAAUUAUAAAUAAGUGUUUGUAUUUUCUAAAUAUAUAUCAUCGUUUGUAAACAAACCAAUAUAAAACAAUUUUACAGCACCUUUAUGUUUAUCGGAAAUGUUCAACAUUUUAUUUAUAUGUAUAUACGAGUACAACCUACCAUAAGAAUAUAAUAUCAUUGUUUUCGUGUAUUCUGUUGCUUGUGCUUGCGUUAAUAGUGAACAUCAGAAUAACAUCGCAUCAUCAUCUAGUGUUUCAAAAGUUGGCCUGUUGGUUUAUGCUACUCACCCACAUUCAUGCUCCCGGAGCGUGGCCAAUCUACGCCUGGCCUUGAUUCGUCAUUUCUGUUGAUGGUUUUGGCGACGCUUGAGAAGCGUCAUGCUGGGAUCGCUCAGCGAGUACGUUUCCGGCUCAAAGACCGGGGGAUAUUCCAUAUUGGGGUAGUCCGGUGAAGUUCGAUUCAAAACGUUGCUGGUCAGUACCGAUGUUGUUGUUGCGGUGGAUUGAAUGUUUCCGAUUGUGAUUGUACUGGUGAGGGUUGAGUUUGACUGAAUUGUGCUUUCCGCGGAGAAGGUACUCUGCGAUAAAAAAAAUUCAUCAUGAUUCCACACACUUUCAUAUAUAAUAUAGUAUAGUGAAGGUCCGCCUCAUCCCCCUAUAUAGGCUCGAGUUGGUCGAUUAUUUAAGAAAACAGUGUAACAAAAAAACGAACUGAUCUACAGAUAUAAAAUAACUUCU